This 319-nucleotide ribosomal RNA is filed under the name uncultured bacterium. Its description in RNAcentral is "bacterial SSU rRNA". It matches the Rfam family "Bacterial small subunit ribosomal RNA", at positions 86 to 422 of the family's 1533-position model. The record is from RNAcentral.
GCAAGGGGAGCGGCAGACGGGAUAGUAACACGUGGGAACGUACCCUUCAGUUCGGAACAACCCAGGGAAACUUGGGCUAAUACCGAAUACGUCCGUAAGGAGAAAGAUUUAUCGCUGAAGGAUCGGCCCGCGUCUGAUUAGCUAGUUGGUGAGGUAAUGGCUCACCAAGGCGACGAUCAGUAGCUGGUCUGAGAGGAUGAUCAGCAUCACUGGGACUGAGACACGGCCCAGACUCCUACGGGAGGCAGCAGUGGGGAAUAUUGGACAAUGGGCGCAAGCCUGAUCCAGCCAUGCCGCGUGGAUGAUGAAGGCCCUAGGG